Girardinichthys multiradiatus is the source of this 238-nucleotide long non-coding RNA. RefSeq lists it as uncharacterized. The record is from RefSeq and is a predicted model, not a curated record. The transcript is spliced from 3 exons. NCBI's taxonomy places the organism in Eukaryota, Metazoa, Chordata, Actinopteri, Cyprinodontiformes, Goodeidae.
CAGGAACAAAUCUCCAUCAAAACCAGACCCAAACUCCAUCAGAACCAGGAGGAAUUCUCCAUCAGGACCAGUUAGGCACCCAUUAUCAGAACCAGGUCCAAACUCAAUCAGAACCAGAAAGAAUAUGCUAACGUUAGGAUUGUAGCUUCUUUUUCUCCUCUCUUAGCUAAAGAACACAUUUGCAUUUUUUAGGCAAUUUCCUGUUUGUUUUUGUGUUUCUUUAGCGUAUUUGUUGUUA